Molecule: ribosomal RNA, 451 nt
Filed under: uncultured bacterium
Lineage: Bacteria
Description: partial 16S ribosomal RNA
Rfam family: Bacterial small subunit ribosomal RNA
Source: RNAcentral
GUGGGGAAUAUUGGACAAUGGGGGGAACCCUGAUCCAGCCAUGCCGCGUGUGUGAAGAAGGCCUUUUGGUUGUAAAGCACUUUAAGUGGGGAGGAGGCUUACCUGGUUAAUACCUGGGCUAAGUGGACGUUACCCACAGAAUAAGCACCGGCUAACUCUGUGCCAGCAGCCGCGGUAAUACAGAGGGUGCGAGCGUUAAUCGGAUUUACUGGGCGUAAAGCGCGCGUAGGUGGUUAAUUAAGUCAAAUGUGAAAUCCCCGAGCUUAACUUGGGAAUUGCAUUCGAUACUGGUGAGCUAGAGUAUGGGAGAGGAUGGUAGAAUUCCAGGUGUAGCGGUGAAAUGCGUAGAGAUCUGGAGGAAUACCGAUGGCGAAGGCAGCCAUCUGGCCUAAUACUGACACUGAGGUGCGAGAGCAUGGGGAGCAAACAGGAUUAGAAACCCCGGUAGUCC